Molecule: long non-coding RNA, 1990 nt
Filed under: Actinia tenebrosa (Australian red waratah sea anemone)
Lineage: Eukaryota; Metazoa; Cnidaria; Anthozoa; Actiniaria; Actiniidae
Description: uncharacterized LOC116294946
Source: RNAcentral
UGCUGUUGAAAAAAAAGAUAGAAAAUGACAGUCUUAAUUUCCAACUCUGACACCUUUUAAAUUUUAGAUAAAUGAAAUGAAGUCUGGCGAGAGCGAGUGUGACAGAGCAUUCAUCUUAGUACUUUUAUUACGAUAAUCCAUUCUUGGCUUUCUGAACUAAACUAUAUUUUUAAGAAUAUUUAUGAUAGAAAUAAAAAUGUAUAGUUUAUAAAAUGACGUACAUUGAUGUCAUUGAUAAGAUGGCGUUCAGUUUACUCAGGUAAGUGAUUUUUUAGCUUAUCUAAGUUUCCGGUGAAAGUAAAGUUUGUGAAAAGAGACCGCGGAAAACCAAUAUCAAAAGUCAGAGUUUUCAAUUGACUCCACUAAAAAAUUUUGUUAUAUCAAUUAGGAAACACUUCACUUUUUUGCCUUUGUAUCUAUACACCUAUUUUAAUAGACGUUGUCAUCGCCAAAGGCAAUAGGUCAUUCCAAUAUGGAAAUGGUUUCGUUGAAUACAAAGAACAUUGAAUCAGUCUGGUCUCAACACUAAGGUCCAUGUUCUUGACGAGAGUAAGAUAGAAGCAGAAACACCAUUCAUUCCAACUAUUCUUGGAUUUUGGAAUGACCUAUCUCCUAUCGCUUCAUCGCCUAUUGCCAAUCGCCUUUGGCGACGACAACGUUUAUUGAAAUAGGUGUAUAUCUGGGAGUCUUUUUUUCUUUUUGUUUUUGAAUCCAGAUGAGAAAAUGUAGAAUGAAACUUAGACACUUUUAAAGUCUUCAGUUAACUUUACCAAAGUAUACAAUUCUGACUUUGCUUCAAUAGCGGUGAAUUCGAUACAUGUAAUAGUUUGUACACAAAAACCAUCUAAGUUUGUGGUAGAAGGUUGUCAACGGAAGUAUAAACGAGUGUUGUACAAAAUCUUCAAAUCUGCAUUUACCUUUGUGCAACAUUGUAAUCCUGUUAGAUGUCAAUAAUGGCGGAAAGAUUUCGACGGCACUUCACAGCUCAUCUGUGUUUUUUAUUUUCUUCAUAGUUCUAACGUUGAUUAAUGUCUUCGAAUUAUAGUCAUUGCCAGACCCUCAACUUGAACCACACCAGGAGAAAUCCCUAGAAAACUGAAUUCAUUAUCAUAGCUCUUAAGCGUUUUAUUAUAAAGUUUAUUUUGACAAGUACUAAUGAGAAUUUUGGAAGUUAAGCUGCAAAUCGUUCCUGAAGAAGCCCCCAUCAAGCUGUUUAGUGCUGGGAACUCGCUUUAUAAUGAUAAUAAUAAUAGUCAGAUAAAGCUAGAUAUUGGUAUCAAUAUCUAUGAGGCUCUAGCAGUAUCCUGGGACUUAUAUCAUAAGGUAUUUUUAAGAUUAUACGAAUUUUAUCACGGAAGACGGAACUUAUCGAAAGCACAAGUGGUCUCAGUACGUUUGAAGAAGUUGUUUGAACAAAGAUAUCGGAGGUACUUUGCAAUGUCCACUACCUAAUUCAGUAAAAGGGAUACAGCUAGACAAUUCAAUGGUAAUCUUGUUUAUUUUGAGGAUUAAAAUCCUUGUGUAUUUAUCCAGGUCAUCAAAUAUUGAAUUAUCCUAUUGUAAGCGCAUUCAGGCGCAUUCAGGAAGUCCCCUCAGGCCAGACGUCAAUACAGUGCUACCCUACCCAUCCCUCCACGGGUGCAAUUGUGUAAGUAAAUACAGCUGCAGGUGGAGGUAUCAUAGCAACGUUUUUUGAGCUGGCAGUUGCAUGCGACGUUGUCCUUAUUCCUCCGUUAUCAGUCAAUACAGUUUGGCUCGUGAGUAGAAUUUAUAAUUAUCUUCAUUUUUCCCGAUAAGCUGUAUUGGACUUUGUCGUGUUUUUAUGAACCAAGUUUUAAAGGGUUAUAAAAAAACUAUUGGAGUAUGUACAAGGCCGGCUAAGUCUCUCGUAAUCUUGAGAGCUAGAUAGAGUGUUGGGAGAAAACCAUGUAGUUGUUGUCAGUAGCUGGUGAGUUAGCAGUGUUUAUAAAGACUGGUUGACGAUCGAAUG